UACGGAGGGUGCAAGCGUUAUCCGGAUUCACUGGGUUUAAAGGGUGCGUAGGUGGGCAAGUAAGUCAGUGGUGAAAUCUCCGGGCUUAACCCGGAAACUGCCAUUGAUACUAUUUGUCUUGAAUACUGUGGAGGUCAGCGGAAUAUGUCAUGUAGCGGUGAAAUGCUUAGAUAUGACAUAGAACACCAAUUGCGAAGGCAGCUGGCUACACAAAUAUUGACACUGAGACGCGAAAGCGUGGGGAGCAAACAGG
This 253-nucleotide ribosomal RNA is filed under the name uncultured bacterium. Its description in RNAcentral is "partial 16S ribosomal RNA". It matches the Rfam family "Bacterial small subunit ribosomal RNA", at positions 524 to 776 of the family's 1533-position model. The record is from RNAcentral.